UACAGAGGGGGCAAGCGUUGUUCGGAAUUACUGGGCGUAAAGGGCGCGUAGGCGGCCUUCUAAGUCGAACGUGAAAUCCCCGGGGCUCAACUCCGGGCCUGCAGCCGAUACGGGCAGACUAGAGUUCGGCAGGGGAGACUGGAAUUCCUGGUGUAGCGGUGAAAUGCGCAGAUAUCAGGAGGAACACCGGUGGCGAAGGCGGGUCUCUGGGCCGAUACUGACGCUGAGGAGCGAAAGCGUGGGGAGCAAACAGG
This 254-nucleotide ribosomal RNA is filed under the name uncultured bacterium. Its description in RNAcentral is "partial 16S ribosomal RNA". It matches the Rfam family "Bacterial small subunit ribosomal RNA", at positions 524 to 776 of the family's 1533-position model. The record is from RNAcentral.